GGUGGUUCUCCAGUGACGCACCCCAGAAUCGGGCUUCCUCCUCUCUGGUUCUGGGUGCAUCACCUGAGAACAGCA
Molecule: non-coding RNA, 75 nt
Organism: Myotis brandtii (Brandt's bat)
Lineage: Eukaryota; Metazoa; Chordata; Mammalia; Chiroptera; Vespertilionidae
Source: Rfam